Molecule: ribosomal RNA, 422 nt
Filed under: uncultured bacterium
Lineage: Bacteria
Description: bacterial SSU rRNA
Rfam family: Bacterial small subunit ribosomal RNA
Source: RNAcentral
UGAGGAAUAUUGGUCAAUGGGGGCAACCCUGAACCAGCCAAGUCGCGUGAAGGAUGAAGGUCUUAUGGAUUGUAAACUUCUUUUACACGGGAAUAAAGUGGGGGACGUGUCCCCCUUUGCAUGUACCGUGUGAAUAAGGAUCGGCUAACUCCGUGCCAGCAGCCGCGGUAAUACGGAGGAUCCGAGCGUUAUCCGGAUUUAUUGGGUUUAAAGGGUGCGCAGGCGGGAUGUUAAGUCGGCGGUGAAAUUUUGCAGCUCAACUGUAAAAGUGCCUUCGAUACUGGCCUCCUUGAGUGUGGAUGAAGUAGGCAGAAUUUGUGGUGUAGCGGUGAAAUGCUUAGAUAUCACGAGGAACUCCGAUUGCGCAGGCAGCUUACUAAGCCACAACUGACGCUCAUGCACGAAGGCGUGGGGAUCAAACA